RNAcentral lists this ribosomal RNA (292 nucleotides) under uncultured Bradyrhizobium sp. Its description in RNAcentral is "partial 16S ribosomal RNA". It matches the Rfam family "Bacterial small subunit ribosomal RNA", at positions 505 to 796 of the family's 1533-position model. The record is from RNAcentral. Lineage: Bacteria; Pseudomonadati; Pseudomonadota; Alphaproteobacteria; Hyphomicrobiales; Nitrobacteraceae.
GUGUCAGCAGCCGCGGUAAUACGAAGGGGGCUAGCGUUGCUCGGAAUCACUGGGCGUGAAGGGUGCGUAGGCGGGUCUUUAAGUCAGGGGUGAAAUCCUGGAGCUCAACUCCAGAACUGCCUUUGAUACUGAGGAUCUUGAGUUCGGGAGAGGUGAGUGGAACUGCGAGUGUAGAGGUGAAAUUCGUAGAUAUUCGCAAGAACACCAGUGGCGAAGGCGGCUCACUGGCCCGAUACUGACGCUGAGGCACGAAAGCGUGGGGAGCAAACAGGAUUAGAAACCCUCGUAGUCC